This 429-nucleotide ribosomal RNA is filed under the name Verrucomicrobiota bacterium. RNAcentral's name for it is "Verrucomicrobia bacterium partial 16S ribosomal RNA". It matches the Rfam family "Bacterial small subunit ribosomal RNA", at positions 355 to 776 of the family's 1533-position model. The record is from RNAcentral. Lineage: Bacteria; Pseudomonadati; Verrucomicrobiota.
UAGGGAAUCUUCCGCAAUGGUCGAAAGUCUGACGGAGCAACGCCGCGUGAGUGAAGAAGGAUUUCGGUUCGUAAAACUCUGUUGUUAGGGAAGAAAAAAUGUAUAGUAACUAUAUACAAAAGAGACGGUACCUAACCAGAAAGCCACGGCUAACUACGUGCCAGCAGCCGCGGUAAUACGUAGGGGGCUAGCGUUGUCCGGAAUCACUGGGCGUAAAGGGUUCGCAGGCGGAAUAACAAGUCAGAUGUGAAAGGCAUGGGCUCAACCCAUGUAAGCAUUUGAAACUGUAAUUCUUGAGAAGUGGAGAGGUAAGUGGAAUUCCUAGUGUAGCGGUGAAAUGCGUAGAUAUUAGGAGGAAUACCUGUGGCGAAGGCGACUUACUGGACACAAAUCUGACGCUGAGGAACGAAAGCGUGGGUAGCAAACAGG